GGAGCUGGUCGUUUUUCAACGGCGCCAUCUCGGAUGCCUCAAAGGAAGUGAGCGAGGUCCGAGGACGAAAGGUCGUAAGGGUCAGGACUCGCCCCAUCGACCUCUGACCUCUGACCAGCGUCACUGGAGGAGCUUUAGUUCUUCUAAGAUGCUUUUCUGUAGUGCAACAGUUUUACAGGAUGCGAAUGAAACAAACGUCCCAAUAGAUUAUUGACCGUCUAAAUGUGUUUGUGUUUUCAGCAGUAGAGCAAAGUACAUUUAGAGGUACUUUUACCUGAGGUUUCAGGGCUCUACAAUAAUUUAAAUUAUGUUUAUUUAACAUCUACAUGAAGAAGAAUUCACCAGAUAUUCUACUUUGUGAGUACAUUGCACUAACUAACUCUCAGCCAAACCCAGAUGUUUUGAUCAUUUGAAAAAACAAAGAUCUGAAACUUGAAGAUUUUAAUUAGAAAAUAUAAAAUCUGAAACCAAAAAAUAUAUAUUAUUACCCCCCAAAAAAACUGAGUUAAAAACUAUAUUCUACCCAGAAAUACUUUUUAUUUUUAAUGCAUUGUUUUAUUUUCCAAUGUUGAACUUCACAUCUGUUCUUCAAAUGAUCAAAACUUUAAGCCUGGAUUUGGUUCCAUACAGAACUUUUCAACUGUGGCUUUUUCCUUUAAUUGAGAGUAAAGGGUGUGAAUACUUUUCUCACCACUAGUGGGCAGUAUAACCCAGUACAAACCAAGUAUAAACCAGUACAAACCCAGUAUAACCCAGUACAAACCAAGUAUAAACCAGUACAAACCCAGUAUAACCCAGUACAAACCAAGUAUAAACCAGUACAAACCAAGUAUAACCCAGUACAAACCCAGUAUAAACCAGUACAAACCCAGUAUAACCCAGUGUGUGUUGUGUGCGUGUCACUGCUCUCAUAUAGUUAUAAAUGACCAUAUUUGGUCAUGUAAUUUACUUUAUUGAUCAUCAGUCUGAUAAUUAACGUUGAUGCAGAAAAAACACCUUAUUGCAAUAAAAAAAUAAUAACUUAACUAAAGUAAAUGACUGAUGAAAGGUCCUGAAAAUGAUUGUUAAUAAAAGAAACAUUUCAUUCAGUGAAGUAAAGACGUUUAUAUUCACAGUGCAGCAGACAGACGGGUGACAGGCAGCACGAUGUCAUCGCUGACGUGUAACAUCUCAGCUGGAUGAAUGUUACACACUGUUGCUCCACAAUGACAUCAUCACUGUGGUGUGUGUGUGUGUGUGUGUGUGUGUGUGUCUAGCUAAAGUGACCCAGCCUCCUCAGCACCAGGCUGUGAUCGGUCUGCUGACUCUCACGUUCCUGUUGUUCUGGAGGUGAAUCGCUCUGCAACACACGCAAGACUUUACAACCAGGAAGUGAGACCAGCGCGUAAAGACCAACGUGAAGACGCAGGAACACGUCUCGGCCUCCAGUCGAGGUCUCUUCAGUGGGGAUGUGCUCACGGCUCAGGUACGAUGACCCCGUUGACCUCCUGCGGUUCCUCCUGUCGGCUCAAAGGACCCAGAGACCGAAUCAAAGAACACGUCUUUGGACGCACAAACACUCUCCUUCCACCAGUAGUCGCAGCAGGAUCUGUCCUCUGUCCUCGCAGGUCUGCAUGGUCCUGGUUCUGUGGACGUCCUCGGGGACCCUGCUGCUCAGUCGUUGGGGACGUGUUCCCGUUCCGGGGGAACCGACCGCAAAACCCUCAAAGGUCCGAUUGGGCUAAAAUGAAAUAAAAUGAAUUGAAAUAUUCUAAAGGAGCUUUGUCACAAUCCAAAGCGUGUACUAACGUGUACUACUAGCAUGUACUAACAUGUACUACUAGCGUGUACUAACGUGUACUAACGUGAUCAGAUUUGAAUUAUGCAGAAUUUCUGUCAACUCAAAUGAUCAUUUUCACAUUUUGUCACAGAAAGUGUUGGAAAGUAAGAACUUUUUGUUCAUGUGUCAAAUAAAAUAUUAUUUUUAACGAUGCUUGUUUCACUCUCCUGGUGGUGACGUCUCACAGGAGGACACGUGGGAGGACACAUACCUGUAGAUUAUUGUUAUAUCGGACGGACAGACGACAUCUCGUGAUGAAAGUUGUGCUAAAAAGAACAUGUGAGGAGAUCCAGUUGAUUACGUGACAUUAAAACGAUCACAGCUGCACUGUGGUAUCAUUUAUUGAUCACGGUGGUUCUACAAUAUUCUCAUCAUGUUAUUGAUUACGUAGCUCCAGAGUCAUGGCUGUAACCCGGUGACCCUGAAUGUUGAUUUGAGAGCCGGGUGUUUUAUUUCUAACGUCCGCUUCCUGUCAACGCUCGGCGGUGCGUUUGACUUGUCGUCGGGGGGCCGGUCGCUCGGGGCCCAGAGGCCUCUGGGACGCUGCGGGUGAGGAAUAUUACAGGAAGAGGGCGACGGGGGCGAGCUGCUGACGUCCAGCCGUGGUCACCCGCUUAGUCAGAGACAGGAAGUCCUGUUGGUUUUACUCACAGGGAACCCAAAGCAAACACAGCUGGGAUUGGUCAGGUCCCUCCCCCCCAGGCCUCUGCUCCACCAAUCACGUGGAGGCGGAAAAUGACGAGCAGAGCGCCGUCUGUCCGUCUGGCGCCCACAUUUAACCCCUUAAUGAGUCACGCCUUCAAAAUAAAGUACCGUUUCAAACCAAACAAAACAACGGCUUUAAAGGUCUUAUUCAUUUCAAUGUGCUUCAUGUCAACAUUACUUUGCCGUCCCAACUAAUAAUCAAUCGUCAAUAUUCAAUCAGUCAAGAUCACUCAUAAGGAAGAAUGCGUCAAAAUAAAGUUCCUUGUGGGCUUUUGUUUUAUGUUUCAGGGGAAGUUUCUUCUCUCAGAGCCAGAAUGUUUCUGUAUUAUUCCAUAAACACAGUGACCGUUUAUGACUGUGAGACGGAACCUUCACAGAAGCUUCUUUAUUCUUUCUUUCCAAAAUGAGUUUCAAAGGAUUUGAGGGUUUAUAAUUAUACAUGAACUAUUGUUUUCUACUCCAGCGUUUGCUUUAAUAUUCAGUGAUUUACAAGAUUUAGCUGACGGAUAUUUAAUCUACAGCGGCAACAAACGUUGUCAAAGAAAGAAGCCUGAAAUGAUGCGUUGAGGAUAUUGAAGUUUGAUGGACGUUAAGUAGUCCUUUUGUUUUGUAAUCCUUUAUUGUAUCCUAGCAACAUGGUAGUGAUGAAUAAAUAAUAAGACGUUUGUGUGUGUGUUUAUUGAAUAAAACUGUCGUUUUUUAAUUUAUUAAUCAGAUUGUGAACUUUGGCAAGGCAAGGCAAUUUUAUUUGUAUAGCACUUUUCAUACACAAGGCAGUGCUUCACAUCAUAACAUUUCAUACAAUAAAGUGAAAAAAAUGCAGGAAUUAAAAGACAAUUAAAAACAGCAAAUAAAAUUAUAAAUUAAAAUCUUAUUUAAACUUUGAUCUUUUUUUAAAGUGUCAAUCACUCCUCGUGGUUUUUCUCCCCGUGACCUCGUGACCUUUGAGGCUUCCAAAGCUUGAGUCAGAAUGUUCUUGUCAAAUGUAACUUCAGAAGAAAACAUUACAUUUUGUGUUCAUCUGAACCCUUUUUAAGUCUUCGUGUUCUUGACUUCAGGCCGAAGAACAAAAGCAGUGAAGGCGAUAAAUCUCCCUCUGUCCUCGGAUCAGUUCUGGUGGGAAAACAACAACACAAACAACGCCGAUGAAAACGACGGAUGAACACAAACAAUGCAACCGCGCCGACGGAUCAUGCGGAAGGGAACAUGUGACUUGGUUGUGGGCGGGGCCUCCGCGAGGGAAAGACAGACGUUCUGCACGUAGGCCCGUCGCCGGGGCGACGGACCACCAACCAGCACAAUUCCCGUCAGACGGUGACCCACAUCACACGGUCGCCAUGACGACCGGAGUCCGGCUGACUCCUCGGCUUCACGGUCAAAUGAAAUAUCCAACUGAAUAAACACGAGUCCCCCCAGACCGGGGGACACUGUGAGGACGCUGUGAGGACACUGUGAGGACACUGUGAGGACGCUGCACUGUAAAAAACACCCGACAGAAUCCACUCAAUAAUUGUGAGGUAACAAUUGGCACUGAGUAGAUUUCACUACAUUAAAGUUUAAAGUAAAGCGUAACUACGUUGUAGAACUAAGAUACACUGAAAUGAAAGAGGUAAAGUCUACGGAACACUUUAUACAACUGAUGACUCUACAUUGUAAGCAGUUAAUACCUAAUAAUUGUUAGUAGGACAAUGUCCCCUAUUAAUGGUGACUUAAUCAGGGACAGGAAGCUCGACUUGUGAAAAUAUGUCGUCAGGCUGCAGUUGUUACUCGCAGGUCAUGAAGGUGGAAGUUACCAAUUAUUACACCUCUGCUGACUGAUUUAAACAAUGUGUAAUAGGUAAUGUGUUUUUACAGUGUGAGGACACGGUGAGGUCAUGAGGACACUAUGAGGACACUGUGAGGUCAUGAGGACACUAUGAGGACACUAAGACACUUCAGCACAGCCUCAUGUCCUCCUGAUGUCUCAGCAUCUUUCGUUCUACUGGAUGACUGAAGACGAGGACGCCGCAACAAGAGAAUUUGUUGUGUCCAAAAAUGAAGAAACUCUGGACGGACAAAGGACAUGGAUUUGGAUUGAAAAGUUGACAUCCAAAGUUUAUAAUGAAGGAAAAUCCCAGCGUGUGACACUAUUCUCAUUAUCCUGCUUCACUGAGUGCAUUUUAUUACAGUAACUGGUCUAAUUUACCAACCGGGUCCUGCGUUUGUUUAGAAUAUACCACAGCCCCCCACAGC
Gasterosteus aculeatus aculeatus (three-spined stickleback) is the source of this 4756-nucleotide long non-coding RNA. The record is from Ensembl. NCBI's taxonomy places the organism in Eukaryota, Metazoa, Chordata, Actinopteri, Perciformes, Gasterosteidae.